UAAUACGUAGGGAGCGAGCGUUGUCCGGAAUUACUGGGUGUAAAGGGUGCGUAGGCGGGACUGCAAGUCAGGCGUGAAAUACCGGAGCUUAACUCCGGGGCUGCGCUUGAAACUGUGGUUCUUGAGUGAAGUAGAGGUAGGCGGAAUUCCUAGUGUAGCGGUGAAAUGCGUAGAUAUUAGGAGGAACACCAGUGGCGAAGGCGGCCUACUGGGCUUUAACUGACGCUGAGGCACGAAAGCAUGGGGAGCAAACAGG
RNAcentral lists this ribosomal RNA (256 nucleotides) under uncultured bacterium. Its description in RNAcentral is "partial 16S ribosomal RNA". It matches the Rfam family "Bacterial small subunit ribosomal RNA", at positions 521 to 776 of the family's 1533-position model. The record is from RNAcentral.